RNAcentral lists this ribosomal RNA (494 nucleotides) under uncultured bacterium. RNAcentral's name for it is "partial 16S ribosomal RNA". It matches the Rfam family "Bacterial small subunit ribosomal RNA", at positions 28 to 507 of the family's 1533-position model. The record is from RNAcentral.
GAUGAACGCUGGCGGCGUGCCUAAUACAUGCAAGUCGAGCGAACGGACGAGAAGCUUGCUUCUCUGAUGUUAGCGGCGGACGGGUGAGUAACACGUGGAUAACCUACCUAUAAGACUGGGAUAACUUCGGGAAACCGGAGCUAAUACCGGAUAAUAUUUUGAACCGCAUGGUUCAAAAGUGGACGGUCUUGCUGUCACUUAUAGAUGGAUCCGCGCUGCAUUAGCUAGUUGGUAAGGUAACGGCUUACCAAGGCAACGAUGCAUAGCCGACCUGAGAGGGUGAUCGGCCACACUGGAACUGAGACACGGUCCAGACUCCUACGGGAGGCAGCAGUAGGGAAUCUUCCGCAAUGGGCGAAAGCCUGACGGAGCAACGCCGCGUGAGUGAUGAAGGUCUUCGGAUCGUAAAACUCUGUUAUUAGGGAAGAACAUAUGUGUAAGUAACUGUGCACAUCUUGACGGUACCUAAUCAGAAAGCCACGGCUAACUACGUG